This 274-nucleotide ribosomal RNA is filed under the name uncultured bacterium. RNAcentral's name for it is "partial 16S ribosomal RNA". It matches the Rfam family "Bacterial small subunit ribosomal RNA", at positions 524 to 796 of the family's 1533-position model. The record is from RNAcentral.
UACGAAGGGGGCUAGCGUUGUUCGGAAUCACUGGGCGUAAAGCGCACGUAGGCGGACUUUUAAGUCAGGGGUGAAAUCCCCGGGGCUCAACCCCGGAAUGCCUUUGAUACUGGAAGUCUUGAGUCCGAGAGAGGUGAGUGGAACUCCGAGUGUAGAGGUGAAAUUCGUAGAUAUUCGGAAGAACACCAGUGGCGAAGGCGGCUCACUGGCUCGGUACUGACGCUGAGGUGCGAAAGCGUGGGGAGCAAACAGGAUUAGAUACCCCGUGUAGUCC